GUCGGGACGAAGCCACGCUGCACGCGGCGUGUCUCGCGCUAGUACAGUCUCCUGAAGAUGUCGAUAUAGAUGCUGGUGAAAUGCUGACCGCGCUGCAAAUAAUAUUUUCGAGCGACGUAGACCCGAAGAUACACACAGAGGCUGUAAGGAAAUUCGACUAUUUACUCACUAAGGAGAGAAGUCCGGACGUAGACAUUCGCGAUGCUAUGCGCUCUGUAGAGAAACUGAGAGCGCGCGGCGACCGAACGGACCGAGACGUCCGGAUACUUCACAGAGAAAUCACUAUGUUUUUAGG
Molecule: long non-coding RNA, 295 nt
Organism: Cydia splendana
Lineage: Eukaryota; Metazoa; Arthropoda; Insecta; Lepidoptera; Tortricidae
Exons: 3
Source: RefSeq, a predicted model, not a curated record